RNAcentral lists this ribosomal RNA (119 nucleotides) under Pteropus alecto (black flying fox). Lineage: Eukaryota; Metazoa; Chordata; Mammalia; Chiroptera; Pteropodidae. The record is from RNAcentral.
GUCUAUGGCCAUGCUAUCCUGAAAGUGCCUGAUCUCAUCUGAUCUCAGAAGCUAAGCAGGGUCGGGCCUGGUUAGUACUUGGAUAGGAGACCACUGUGUAAUAUCAGGUGCUGUAAGUG